RNAcentral lists this ribosomal RNA (468 nucleotides) under uncultured bacterium. RNAcentral describes it as "partial 16S ribosomal RNA". It matches the Rfam family "Bacterial small subunit ribosomal RNA", at positions 28 to 507 of the family's 1533-position model. The record is from RNAcentral.
GACGAACGCUGGCGGCGUGCUUAACACAUGCAAGUCGAACGGAAAGGCCCUGCUUUUGUGGGGUGCUCGAGUGGCGAACGGGUGAGUAACACGUGAGUAACCUGCCCUUGACUUUGGGAUAACUUCAGGAAACUGGGGCUAAUACAGGAUAGGAGACCCUGUUGCAUGGUGGGGGUUGGAAAGUUUCGGCGGUUGGGGAUGGACUCGCGGCUUAUCAGCUUGUUGGUGGGGUAGUGGCUUACCAAGGAUUUGACGGGUAGCCGGCCUGGGAGGGUGACCGGCCACAUUGGGACUGAGAUACGGCCCAGACUCCUACGGGAGGCAGCAGUGGGGAAUAUUGCACAGUGAGCGGAAGCCUGAUGCGGCAACGCCGCGUGCGUGAUGACGGCCUUCGGGUUGUAAACCGCUUUCGCCUGUGACGAAGCGUGAGUGACGGUAAUGGGUAAAGAAGCACCGGCUAACUACGUG